UACGUAGGUGGCAAGCGUUGUCCGGAUUUACUGGGCGUAAAGGGAGCGUAGGCGGAUUUUUAAGUGGGAUGUGAAAUACUCGGGCUCAACCUGAGUGCUGCAUUCCAAACUGGAAGUCUAGAGUACAGGAGGGGAAAGUGGAAUUCCUAGUGUAGCGGUGAAAUGCGUAGAUAUUAGGAAGAACACCGGUGGCGAAGGCGACUUUCUGGACUGUAACUGACGCUGAGGCUCGAAAGCGUGGGGAGCGAACAGG
This 253-nucleotide ribosomal RNA is filed under the name uncultured bacterium. RNAcentral's name for it is "partial 16S ribosomal RNA". It matches the Rfam family "Bacterial small subunit ribosomal RNA", at positions 524 to 776 of the family's 1533-position model. The record is from RNAcentral.